RNAcentral lists this transfer RNA (66 nucleotides) under Crassiplana albatrossi. Its description in RNAcentral is "tRNA-Pro". Lineage: Eukaryota; Metazoa; Platyhelminthes; Polycladida; Callioplanidae. The record is from RNAcentral.
UUAAAAGUAGUUUAAAAAAAAUAUUAACUUUGGGAGUUAAUGAUCGGAUUACCCUCUGCUUUUAAA